AGCAAAUCUAUACUGUGAAACUGCGAAUGGCUCAUUAAAUCAGUUAUCGUUUAUUUGAUAGUACCUUACUACUUGGAUAACCGUGGUAAUUCUAGAGCUAAUACAUGCUAAAAACCCCAACUACGGAAGGGGUGUAUUUAUUAGAUAAAAAACCAACGCCCUUUGGGGCUCCUUGGUGAUUCAUAAUAACUAAACGAAUCGCAUGGCCUUGUGCCGGCGAUGGUUCAUUCAAAUUUCUGCCCUAUCAACUUUCGAUGGUAGGAUAGUGGCCUACCAUGGUGUCAACGGGUAACGGGGAAUUAGGGUUCUAUUCCGGAGAGGGAGCCUGAGAAACGGCUACCACAUCCAAGGAAGGCAGCAGGCGCGCAAAUUACCCAAUCCCGACACGGGGAGGUAGUGACAAUAAAUACUGAUACAGGGCUCUUUUGGGUCUUGUAAUUGGAAUGAGUACAAUUUAAAUCCCUUAACGAGGAACAAUUGGAGGGCAAGUCUGGUGCCAGCAGCCGCGGUAAUUCCAGCUCCAAUAGCGUAUAUUAAAGUUGUUGCAGUUAAAAAGCUCGUAGUUGAACCUUGGGCCUGGCUGGCCGGUCCGCCUCACCGCGUGCACUGGUCCGGCUGGGCCUUUCCUUCUGGGGAGCCGCAUGCCCUUCACUGGGUGUGUCGGGGAACCAGGACUUUUACUUUGAAAAAAUUAGAGUGUUCAAAGCAGGCCUAUGCUCGAAUACAUUAGCAUGGAAUAAUAGAAUAGGACGUUGCGGUUCUAUUUUGUUGGUUUCUAGGACCGCCGUAAUGAUUAAUAGGGAUAGUCGGGGGCAUCAGUAUUCAAUUGUCAGAGGUGAAAUUCUUGGAUUUAUUGAAGACUAACUACUGCGAAAGCAUUUGCCAAGGAUGUUUUCAUUAAUCAGUGAACGAAAGUUAGGGGAUCGAAGACGAUCAGAUACCGUCGUAGUCUUAACCAUAAACUAUGCCGACUAGGGAUCGGGCGAUGUUAUUUUUUUGACUCGCUCGGCACCUUACGAGAAAUCAAAGUCUUUGGGUU
This 1039-nucleotide ribosomal RNA is filed under the name Chlorociboria clavula. RNAcentral's name for it is "SSU rRNA". It matches the Rfam family "Eukaryotic small subunit ribosomal RNA", at positions 68 to 1113 of the family's 1831-position model. Lineage: Eukaryota; Fungi; Ascomycota; Leotiomycetes; Helotiales; Chlorociboriaceae. The record is from RNAcentral.